Molecule: long non-coding RNA, 296 nt
Filed under: Helianthus annuus (common sunflower)
Lineage: Eukaryota; Viridiplantae; Streptophyta; Magnoliopsida; Asterales; Asteraceae
Description: sRNA HanXRQr2_Chr01g0000721
Source: RNAcentral
AAACAUGGACCUUUUUUAUAGAAUGAUAAGAUGACAACAUAUGUAUGGUUUGCUAAUUUGACAUUUUUAAUAAUAUUUUUUGGCUCUUCUUCGCUAACAUGCCAAAAAAAUUAACCAGCUCCUCCUUGAUCAUGAAAAGCACAGAAGCUGCAAAUACACUCUGUACUAUCUUGGUGCUCAUUCCUUUGUAGAAGCUAGAUAUUCCUUCAUAAUGGAUCAUUUUUACAAUUGCAUCCAGGAUACCUGAAUAUCUCAAUGAAUUGUUUGUGCUGAUUUCUUGCUUUGCUUGAAGUCUU